Molecule: ribosomal RNA, 253 nt
Filed under: uncultured bacterium
Lineage: Bacteria
Description: partial 16S ribosomal RNA
Rfam family: Bacterial small subunit ribosomal RNA
Source: RNAcentral
UACGUAGGGGGCAAGCGUUGUCCGGAAUCAUUGGGCGUAAAGCGCGUGUAGGCGGCUGAGUAAGUCUGCUCUGAAAGCCCGGGGCUCAACCCCGGGAGGCGGGUGGAUACUGCUCAGCUCGAGUCCGGAAGAGGAUGGUGGAAUUCCCGGUGUAGCGGUGAAAUGCGUAGAGAUCGGGAGGAACAUCAGUGGCGAAGGCGGCCAUCUGGAUCAACACUGACGCUGAGGCACGAAAGCGUGGGGAGCAAACAGG